Paramuricea clavata is the source of this 1005-nucleotide non-coding RNA. The record is from the annotation of a GenBank genome assembly. NCBI's taxonomy places the organism in Eukaryota, Metazoa, Cnidaria, Anthozoa, Malacalcyonacea, Plexauridae.
CUCAUGGUCAUUUAAAUCCCUCUGCAUGGUUGUGAGUCUGCUCAGUAACCUCGCUGAAUUUUCUACACCCAACAUACAAAUAAUUUAAUAUUUUUUAUUACUUUAGUCUAUCACAGUAUAUCAAUGCCAAACUAGAGGAAAAGGGAUGUGGCAUCAUCGAAGGUCUACAGGAAUAUAUAUCGGACGAUAUCAAAGUGGAACAUGCCGUGGAAGCUUGGAAAGUUGCCUGCCAGAAAAGCGAGGAUUACCACUCAAGAAUGUAGCAGUAGCUUGUAGAGAUUUUUUUAAAGAAUUUAUAAUUUUUAUGUGAAUCCCUUACAUCGGAUUAAAAAUCGUGGAUUUAGCGAGAAAGCUUAUUUUAACGUAUAAUUCCAAAACCUAAUUAUUUAAUAUAUUUUGCAUGGAUUAAUUUUGUGAAAAUACAUUUUGAUCACUUUUCCCAUUGAUACUACUGGAAAUACCAAAUAAUUGUAUAAUUGCAGGUUUGCAUUUGAUUACGAAAUUUUUGAGUCUCAGCAUCUUAAGGCGACUGCGAGAUAUAGUAGAUUAUCAAACGUAUAUAUACCUAUCGAUAAUCCAACCCCACUUUGACUACUGCUCUCAAGUCCAAUAUACUAAAAUAAAUCAUGAUAUAAAAUAAAAAAUGAGGAUCUGGAUUUUCGAGUUAAAUUACUUUCAACCAAAAAUAUCCGCCAUUUUGAAACGUCAUUGUGGUUAUAUCAACGGGUGUUAGGAGUAACGUUUUUAAAACUCCGAACUCUUUAGAUAUUGUUUUAUUUAAGUCAGAUACUCUUUGUUUUUCAACAAAUAAUCAUUGUACGGUAUGUUAUACCGAGCGACCAAUAACACAACAUAAUAUAACACUUGCAGAUUAACUAUAGUUUGUUCGAUGGUGAAUUAAUAUAGAGUUUGUUUAUGACAUUCAGUAUAUAUUUCAUAAUUUCCAAUCUUCACUGCAACAAUUUAUGUGUACGUAAGUCUUUGCAUCCACAGAAACACAUUUAU